AUACUUUCCUGGCAGGGGAGAUAGCAGGAUAGUGAAGGUGGUUUUCUCAGAGUAAGACAGACUUAUCAUCCAAUGCACUCCAAAUGUGCUGACCGAUCCCUGCAUUUUCCACAAAUGUAGGAAAUUCAACUACACAAUUUACGGUGUUCGUGUGUGUGUGGGGUCAUUCACAUUUUUCCA
This 180-nucleotide small nuclear RNA is filed under the name Mus caroli (Ryukyu mouse). RNAcentral's name for it is "snRNA (MGP_CAROLIEiJ_G0035244.1)". The record is from RNAcentral. Lineage: Eukaryota; Metazoa; Chordata; Mammalia; Rodentia; Muridae.